RNAcentral lists this long non-coding RNA (1773 nucleotides) under Linum usitatissimum (flax). RNAcentral describes it as "long non-coding RNA (LUSI_LNC006967)". Lineage: Eukaryota; Viridiplantae; Streptophyta; Magnoliopsida; Malpighiales; Linaceae. The record is from RNAcentral.
CCGACCCGACUUCCAUUUAGCCUGGAAUUUUAGAGCCAGGCCCGCACUUCCUUUGCCUCUCUGGGCUUCGCCUGGUAGUCGCUUGACCCGACCCCGCCAAAAAUAGCCGACCCAACUCGUUUUAUGCGUGCGUGGAUUUAACGAGCGCUUUUGCGAGUGGGCUUUCUAAACCACGCGCAGCACUUCAACUCGUGCGUGUUGUACACAUUCCUACGCGCACCCACGCCUGAGGUUAUCAAGCACGCGCCGGUGUUGCAUUUGCUGGUUUUUCCCCUCGAUUCGCUUUCUCCGCCGCAACUCGUCUUACACGGGCGUGCAUCACUACCCUCCGGCCAAAAUGAGCUUCCGAGAUCGGAGCUCCGUGCGUCAGUUGGAGUAAACAGCCGAUCUUCCUCCCAGACGACAGUUCCCACCAAUAAAGUCACCGUUCACGAUCACCAGUGGGGUGUAGUCCUCGAGUUUGUUGUCCUAGUCUGGGAAAGAUUUUGCCUUUUUGAGGGAUUUUGACUUUAAGGUUUGGUUUUUGCAGGACCAGUAUAUACUUGACACAGCGGAUUGAGCUUCCUUUUGCUUGCACUCUUGCAGGCAUGGUAUUAACUCUCUCUACGCUAGAUUUUGACCUGAUUGAUAAAUUCUUAGGGAUGUUAUAUUACUGCAUUGUGAAUUUGUGAUGCUUGCUUCCUGUAAUCUGAUAUAGGGUCUCUUAGUUCAGCUAUGUCAUCCAAGAGUGUAAUUCAUUCAAAUUUGCAGAGUUUAUAAACCAUAAUGCUUGCAUAGUAUAGGAUGAUCAAAUUAAUAGAGUUGAAGGAUUUGAUGUAUUUAGAAACAUGUAUAUUGGUACCGAGAUACAAAUAUGUUCAUGAUGAACUUAUCAAUUCUAUUGAUGAAAUUGUGUUCAUCGCCGGGUUUCUACUUGUUGCAGAGUGUUGUACUAGUUGUGCAGUAGGUGUAAAAUCAUACUAAGGAGAUUGGACAAUAAACAUGUAUGAAAUUAAUGACAAAGUGAUGCGAAUCUGCUGUUUUGAUGCUGGGAUAUGCAUUACUUUGUGUUGGAUUCCUGUCUCGAAAUGGAAACACAAGAUGAGGAUGAGGUACGCUUGCGAUGCAAAACCGGCAUUCUCAGUUCGGCCAGUUUAUGCGUCGGAUGAUAAAGCAUUGCAGUAGCUACUGAAGGAUAAAUCUCUGUUCACUAUAACUUUGCAGCAGAAGUAGGAGUUGAUAUUUCAAGGGGUACUUGAUUUAGAUGCCUUGGUUCAUGGGUUCCUUACAUACUCAGUCAUGUUGCUUUUCUUUUGGCAAAAAUUUACAGGCAGACUUUGUAAACAUCUGGGUUGGCCGCACAGGUCGAUCGAGCUGGUCAAUAUGCGUAUCUACAUUGUUAAAGCUAAUAUAUUACCACAAAUUGAAGCUGCCUGAACUACAUCCAUGGAGGCUGUGUGAUAAUCUAUCAAACUACAUCGCACAUGAUGGUCAGCUCUGCUGCAGGGAGUACCACAUUCAACUCAUCAAGGAAAAGGCCACAAAUUUUGAGUACCAUUAUUGCAGCAGAAGUAGAUGCUGAAUCAUAAAUCUCUAUCCAUGACUAUAGCUUUGAGCCUGCGAACCAUUAACAAAUGUAAAAAACGUUGCAGACUUUAGUUUGAAUCAUUGAUUUUGAUAUAUAUGUAAGCUAAGCUAGCUCUCCAACUCCAUAAGACUUCCUUUUCUAAUUCAUUGGUGGAUAAUGUUGUUAUGGAAUAAAGAUAAAUGUGUUGAUUUAUCGCUAUUCGUCCG